AUCUACGGGAGGCAGCAGUGGGGAAUAUUGCACAAUGGGCGAAAGCCUGAUGCAGCUAUACCGCGUGUAUGAAGAAGGCCUUAGGGUUGUAAAGUACUUUCGUUGGGGAGGAAAAAUAAAUAGAUAAUACCUGUUUAUCGUGACGUUACCCAAAAAAGAAGCACCGGCUAACUCCGUGCCAGCAGCCGCGGUAAUACGGAGGGUGCGAGCGUUAAUCAGAAUUACUGGGCGUAAAGAGCUCGUAGGCGGUUGUUUAAGUCAGAUGUGAAAUCCCUGGGCUUAACCUAGGAACUGCAUUUGAAACUAAAAGACUAGAGUAUCGUAGAGGGAGGUAGAAUUCUAGGUGUAGCGGUGAAAUGCGUAGAUAUCUGGAGGAAUACCUGUGGCGAAAGCGGCCUCCUAAACGAAUACUGACGCUGAGGUGCGAAAGCAUGGGGAGCAAACAGGAUUAGAUACCCUGGUAGUCCAUGCCGUAAACGAUGUCGACUUGGAGGUUGUUUCCUUGAGAAGUGACUUCCGAAGCUAACGCGUUAAGUCGACCGCCUGGGGAGUACGGUCGCAAGGCUAAAACUCAAAUGAAUUGACGGGGGCCCGCACAAGCGGUGGAGCAUGUGGUUUAAUUCGAUGCAACGCGAAAAACCUUACCUGGUCUUGACAUCCACAGAAUUUUUCAGAGAUGAAAAAGUGCCUUAGGGAACUGUGAGACAGGUGCUGCAUGGCUGUCGUCAGCUCGUGUUGUGAAAUGUUGGGUUAAGUCCCGCAACGAGCGCAACCCUUAUCCUCUGUUGCCAUUGGUUCGGCCAGGAACUCAGAGGAGACUGCCGGUUAUAAACCGGAGGAAGGCGGGGACGACGUCAAGUCAUCAUGGCCCUUACGACCAGGGCUACACACGUGCUACAAUGGUGUAUACAAAGAGAAGCAACUCUGCAAAGACAAGCAAACCUCAUAAAGUACAUCGUAGUCCGGACUGGAGUCUGCAACUCGACUCACA
RNAcentral lists this ribosomal RNA (991 nucleotides) under Buchnera aphidicola (Prociphilus erigeronensis). RNAcentral's name for it is "bacterial SSU rRNA". It matches the Rfam family "Bacterial small subunit ribosomal RNA", at positions 337 to 1320 of the family's 1533-position model. Lineage: Bacteria; Pseudomonadati; Pseudomonadota; Gammaproteobacteria; Enterobacterales; Erwiniaceae. The record is from RNAcentral.